UCCCUGGUGGCUCAAAUGGUAAAGCGCCUGUCUGCAAUGCGGAAGACCCAGGUUCGAUCCCUGGGUUGGGAA
Non-coding RNA from Bos taurus (domestic cattle), 72 nucleotides. NCBI's taxonomy places the organism in Eukaryota, Metazoa, Chordata, Mammalia, Artiodactyla, Bovidae. The record is from Rfam.